UAGAAAAUUCUUUGAAAUCGAUGUUCCCA
This 29-nucleotide non-coding RNA is filed under the name Mus musculus (house mouse). The record is from RNAcentral. Lineage: Eukaryota; Metazoa; Chordata; Mammalia; Rodentia; Muridae.